AUACGGAGGGUGCAAGCGUUACUCGGAAUCACUGGGCGUAAAGCGCGCGCAGGCGGCUUGAUAAGUUGGAUGUGAAAGCCUACGGCUCAACCGUAGAACUGCAUCCAAAACUGUCAGGCUAGAGUGUGGGAGAGGAAGAUGGAAUUAGUUAUGUAGGGGUAAAAUCCGUAGAGAUAACUAGGAAUACCAAAAGCGAAGGCAAUCUUCUGGAACACUACUGACGCUGAGGCGCGAAGGCGUGGGGAGCAAACAGGAUUAGAAACCCUAGUAGUCC
RNAcentral lists this ribosomal RNA (274 nucleotides) under uncultured bacterium. RNAcentral's name for it is "partial 16S ribosomal RNA". It matches the Rfam family "Bacterial small subunit ribosomal RNA", at positions 523 to 796 of the family's 1533-position model. The record is from RNAcentral.